Molecule: long non-coding RNA, 104 nt
Filed under: Numida meleagris (helmeted guineafowl)
Lineage: Eukaryota; Metazoa; Chordata; Aves; Galliformes; Numididae
Description: lncRNA (ENSNMEG00000000606.1)
Source: RNAcentral
UCUUCUUCCAUAUCUGCUUUAUCAGCUAACAACAGUCAUGAUUGGCUGCCUCAUCACCUGAACUUCAAGAUACUUCUGCAGUCUUCAUCAAAUCCUGCUGUCUG